GACGAACGCUGGCGGCGUGCUUAACACAUGCAAGUCAAACGGAAAGGCCAUGCUCCUGUGGGGUGCUAGAGAGGCGAACGGGUGAGCAACACGUGAGUAACCUGCCCUUGACUUUGGGAUACCUUCAGGAAACUGGGGCUAAUACCGGAAAGGAGCUCCUGCUGCAUGGUGGGGGUUGGAAAGUUUCGGCGGUUGGGGAUGGACUCGCGGCUUAUCAGCUUGUUGGUGGGGAAGUGGCUUACCAAGGCUUUGACGGGUAGCCGGCCUUAGAGGGUGACCGGCCACAUCGACAAGGGGAUAGGGCCCAUACUCCUCAGGGAGGAAGCGGACGGGCAGAUUUCACGGUGAGACGAGGCCUAAUGCAGCAACGCCGGAUGUGGGAUGCAGAUGUUCGGGUUGUGGGCCGCUUUUGGGUGUGGCGAGGAGUCAAGGACGGGACUGGGUGAAUAAGCAACGGCUAACUACGUG
This 468-nucleotide ribosomal RNA is filed under the name uncultured bacterium. RNAcentral describes it as "partial 16S ribosomal RNA". It matches the Rfam family "Bacterial small subunit ribosomal RNA", at positions 28 to 507 of the family's 1533-position model. The record is from RNAcentral.